CAAAGCACUUUGAAGAGAGAGUUAAAGAGGACGUGAAACCGGUAAGGUGGAAACGGAUAGAGUCGGCGUAUCAUUCAAUUAUUCAGUUACAUUAUUUUUAUGUUGUGACCUCUGAGCUCCAGAUUGGGACAGAGGGAAUCAGCAUAAUUUUUUGUGGUGCAUUUACUUGAUUGGUGCUUGGGGAUGUUUGAGGCAGAUUUGUUUCCGUCGUUUUGAGGCCAGCUUGCUGGUACCCAAACGGUGUUAGCAUUUUUUGUCUUGGGCAUUUGAGUAUGGCUCACGUGUAUUUAUUGGACAGAUCUGAGUGUAAGUUACGGUCGCAUGCGACACGUGCUUUUCAAUUAGUUCGGUCCAGUUAAUGCUCUCGUACUCGUUCCCCAUGUAAAAGCCGGUCAUCUAUCCGACCCGUCUUGAAACACGGACCAAGGAGUUUAUCGUGUGCGCAAGUUUUUGGGUGUUAAAAACUUAAAAGCGAAACGAAAGUAAAUGACUCUUUAGAGUCUGAUGUGCGAUCUUGUAAAAAAGUGUAGCAUGGCCCCAUUCUAACUGUUUACAGUAGGGUGGCGGAAGAGCGUACGCGGUGAGACCCGAAAGAUGGUGAACUAUUCCUGAGCAGGACGAAGCCAGAGGAAACUCUGGUGGAAGUCCGAAGCGGUUCUGACGUGCAAAUCGAUCGUCUGACUUGGGUAUAGGGGCGAAAGACUAAUCGAACCAUC
This 716-nucleotide ribosomal RNA is filed under the name Meloidogyne sp. Mi_c2. Its description in RNAcentral is "LSU rRNA". It matches the Rfam family "Eukaryotic large subunit ribosomal RNA", at positions 367 to 944 of the family's 3401-position model. Lineage: Eukaryota; Metazoa; Nematoda; Chromadorea; Rhabditida; Meloidogynidae. The record is from RNAcentral.